RNAcentral lists this ribosomal RNA (431 nucleotides) under uncultured bacterium. RNAcentral's name for it is "bacterial SSU rRNA". It matches the Rfam family "Bacterial small subunit ribosomal RNA", at positions 355 to 796 of the family's 1533-position model. The record is from RNAcentral.
UGGGGAAUCUUGCACAAUGGGCGCAAGCCUGAUGCAGCGACGCCGCGUGAGGGAUGAAGGCCCUCGGGUUGUAAACCUCUUUCGGCAGGGAAGAAGCCGCAAGGUGACGGUACCUGCAAAAGAAGCCCCGGCUAACUACGUGCCAGCAGCCGCGGUAAGACGUAGGGGGCGAGCGUUGUCCGGAUUUAUUGGGCGUAAAGCGCGCGUAGGCGGCUCGGAAAGUCGGGUGUGAAAAUCCGGGGCUCAACCCCGGACCUGCAUCCGAUACUCCCGGGCUAGAGGCAGACAGGGGAGAGCGGAAUUCCUGGUGUAGCGGUGAAAUGCGCAGAUAUCAGGAGGAACACCGGUGGCGAAGGCGGCUUCCUGGCCUGCAACUGACGCUGAGACGCGAAAGCGUGGGGAGCGAACCGGAUUAGAUACCCGCGUAGUCC